RNAcentral lists this ribosomal RNA (224 nucleotides) under uncultured bacterium. RNAcentral describes it as "partial 16S ribosomal RNA". It matches the Rfam family "Bacterial small subunit ribosomal RNA", at positions 16 to 230 of the family's 1533-position model. The record is from RNAcentral.
GUCAUGGCUCAGGAUGAACGCUAGCUACAGGCUUAACACAUGCAAGUCGAGGGGCAGCAUGGUCUUAGCUUGCUAAGACUGAUGGCGACCGGCGCACGGGUGAGUAACACGUAUCCAACCUGCCGUCUACUCUUGGACAGCCUUCUGAAAAGGAAGAUUAAUACAAGAUGGCAUCAUGAGUCCGCAUGUUCACAUGAUUAAAGGUAUUCCGGUAGACGAUGGGG